AAUCUAUGGUAUUGAUUAUUUGCAGUGAAUUGAUAAACCUUGUUAGGAACAAAAGGAGAAUAUAUUAAAAGCGCACAUAUUAAAAUCAAAUAAUUAUGGCCAUAUUAGAGAAGCAAGAUGAACUACCAGUAAAUUACAUUCCUGACAAUGCUGCAGGCCAAAUUGACAUUAAAGGAUCUAUUGAUGAAGUAAAUAUAAACAAUCCGAUUGGGAAUCAAUCUGAAGUGAUUGCAAUACAAGGUUACUUGACAGAGGCUGAUAUACUUUGCAUUAAGAUCAUUGAAGCUGUUGAGUGUGAGUCAUAUGUUCUGUGGUUUAUUGACUUCCUCAUCCAAAAGGAUCGGAAAAAAAAUUAUAACUAUUUAACUAGCUGUCUUUUAAUUGAUUAUCCUUGAAUGAAAUGUAACUACAAAUAUGAUGCAUUCCAUAAUUACUUAUUUGUCUAUACAUAAUAAUAACUUCAUGUAGCAUGUCUUAUCAAGUAUUUAAAAUAAUUGUUGUCACAACUUUUAUUGUUAGUACAGAAUUUACAAUCUGUUUAUUUUGUAUAUGUGUGUGUAUUCAUAUGACAAGUUAGAAUGAGACUAUAUAAAUAAAUGAAAACAAAGUAGUAAAUUGAAAGUCCAACAAACAAUUGAUCUCAAAAUGAUGUUUACAUGUCAAAUUUAUUUUCUGACUAUUCACUUUACUCUUUGUGUUGGUGUAAUGUAGGGAACAACUUUCUUAAUAUUAAUCAUUAAUUAUACUAAUGCCAAAUAAAAUGAUGCCAAAUUAUUAGUUCAUAUAGCACUGUAAACUCUUACUGUACUAAGGCACGAACUUGUGUGUAACUUAUUAUGAGAGAUGUAAUACUCGUUUGUAUUAGUUUCUAAAACAUUAUGAUCUACAUAUCUAUAAAUAAUUAAAUAAAGUAAUCAAUGUUAUAAU
Bombyx mori (domestic silkworm) is the source of this 927-nucleotide long non-coding RNA. RefSeq lists it as uncharacterized. Lineage: Eukaryota; Metazoa; Arthropoda; Insecta; Lepidoptera; Bombycidae. The record is from RefSeq and is a predicted model, not a curated record. The transcript is spliced from 2 exons.